RNAcentral lists this ribosomal RNA (162 nucleotides) under Calyptranthes speciosa. Its description in RNAcentral is "5.8S ribosomal RNA". It matches the Rfam family "5.8S ribosomal RNA". Rfam says of the family: 5.8S ribosomal RNA (5.8S rRNA) is a component of the large subunit of the eukaryotic ribosome. It is transcribed by RNA polymerase I as part of the 45S precursor that also contains 18S and 28S rRNA. Functionally, it is thought that 5.8S rRNA may be involved in ribosome translocation. Lineage: Eukaryota; Viridiplantae; Streptophyta; Magnoliopsida; Myrtales; Myrtaceae. The record is from RNAcentral.
CAAAACGACUCUCGGCAACGGAUAUCUCGGCUCUCGCAUCGAUGAAGAACGUAGCGAACUGCGAUACUUGGUGUGAAUUGCAGAAUCCCGUGAACCAUCGAGUCUUUGAACGCAAGUUGCGCCCGAAUCUGUUUGGAUGAGGGCACGUUUGCCUGGGUGUCA